GCUGCUGCCAAUUCAUCCCCUUUUGGGUCUUCACUUUUCGGGUCGUCAGGUACGCCCUCGCCGGGUUUGUUUGGGUCCAGUUCGGCUGCUGCUUCAAAUUCGGGCUUGGGCUUGUUUGAUUCUUCUCCGUUUUUAUCAUCAACUACUGCUUCUACUGGAAAUGCAGCAUCUAGUGCUAGUACAACUCCAUUUUCUUCAUCUCUAUUUGUGUCUUCUUCUUCAGCAUCAUCUUCACCUUUUGGAUCAUCUUCAACAGCCCCUUCAUUUGGUUUUCCGUCAUCAGCGGCCUCACUUUCGUUCCAGUCGGCGUCAAAUUCAGCUUCUUCUUCACCUGGACUUUCGUUUGCCAGCUCGGCAGCUGCCAGUUCCUUUUCUUCUUCAUCUGCAUUUUCUUUCCCUGGUGCUUCACCCGCAAGUUCAGCUUCUUCUGCACCGGGAUUUUCUUU
RNAcentral lists this unclassified non-coding RNA (446 nucleotides) under Hevea brasiliensis (rubber tree). Lineage: Eukaryota; Viridiplantae; Streptophyta; Magnoliopsida; Malpighiales; Euphorbiaceae. The record is from RNAcentral.